AAUCCUAAAAAUAGUUACUCCGAAGGCAACACUGGUCGAAAAAGAAGCGCGACGAGGAGUCGAAGGUUCCGGAAGCAGCGAAUCGCUCAUCGAUGAGAAACGAUCGUGAUACCGAAGCGAGUAGCCGGGAGGAAUUCGCAAAAGUUCGCAAAUAGCAAACCACCAAUCGUUCAUCGAGGGAACUGAGUCUUCCAGAUUUAAAGAAAACAGGGAAACUGAUGAACUCGACUCAACGAGUAUCGAUGAAGUACUCGUGGCAAUGUUGACAGCAAUAUUGUGCGAAUUAAAAGGCAACUAUGAAAGUCUUCGUUGGUUCUUCACCACGACUAAACAUCAUAGUGUAUCAUCCUGAUUUAUAAUCGAUCAUACAGCAAUGUUGUGCUAAUCGAAGAACAACGACGAGUGUCUCGAUUCGUUCUUGAGUAAAACCAAACGUCAUAGUGCAUAAUUCUGAUCUAAAAUCGAUCGUUCGACGAUGUUGCGUCGAUUGAAAAGCAACGAUGAAAGUCUUCACUGUUCGUUCUUGGGUACAACCGAACGUUGAUCCAAGAUCGAUGAUUGGAACGGAGAGAUAAACAAUAUAAAAUGAAACGAUGUGUUUGAACGCCAUCGUGAACCAAGAAAUAACUUCUGAAUUCGUCGCAGUUAAGAUGACCUCAAGUGGUUAUAACUAUAGUGUAUUAAGAGUUGUUAUGGGGGUGGGGAAAAGUCCCUCCUUCUACUUGGCCGGCCGCUCUUUGGGGCCGGGUGGAAUAGGUUCGUUGCUUGGGGUGAUCAAGAGAUGGAAGCUCUUGGAGAUGGACGUUUCGGGCUCUGGAGUCUGGUCCAGUCUUCAGGAGUUGGUACGUCUGAUGACCGCCACUUGACGAAAAUUAAUAGAAAAAACGGUUGCGAGGUUAUGUUCGAUGAUGUCAUGGAAGUGAUAUCCUUAGAUGUUCGAUCGAUUCUCGUUAUUCCAAGUGAACGAGGACGUCGGCUAUUUGUAUACAUGCACCGAUGAAACUCGAUUUGAACCACAAUUUAUACAGAAAUCUGAAGGAUAACUUGUGAAAUGGAAUGUUCGUUUUGGUUCUUUGAAUUCAAGUGAUUUUGGUUUUAAACGGUGUGCUCAGUGAUGUCACGUGUGAAGUGUGUUACAAAUCGAAAACGCAGCUUUUCGCACGGUAAAGAAAUUUUCCAACAGAUGCAGACUGCAACCGGCGGACCGAUGAAGAAUAAGACCCUAGCGAGAAUAAUUCGAGGUGGGAAAACCCGAAUGAAACCUCACGUAAG
This 1272-nucleotide long non-coding RNA is filed under the name Neodiprion pinetum (white pine sawfly). RNAcentral describes it as "uncharacterized LOC124218805". The record is from RNAcentral. Lineage: Eukaryota; Metazoa; Arthropoda; Insecta; Hymenoptera; Diprionidae.